CUUUUGAUUAUAAUUUAAGGUCUAACCUGCCCAAUGAAUGAAAAUUUAAAUGGCCGCGGUAUUUUGACCGUGCAAAGGUAGCAUAAUCAUUAGUUUUUUAAUUGAAAGCUGGUAUGAAAGGUUGAAUGAGAAAAUAGCUGUCUCUAUUUAAAUUUUUUAGAAAUUUAUUUUUAAGUUAAAAAGCUUAAAUUAAUUUAGAAGACGAGAAGACCCUAUAGAGUUUUAUUCGUAUUUUAUUUUUAAAUUUUUAGUAUUAAUAUUUUUUUAGUAAAAAUGAAUUUGAUUGGGGUGAUUGAAAAAUUUAUUUAACUUUUUUUGUAUUUGUACAUUGAUUUAUGAUUAUUUGAUCCUUUUAUUAAGAUUAAAAGAUAAAAUUACCUUAGGGAUAACAGCGUAAUUUUUCUAGAGAGUUCUUAUCGAAAGAAAAGUUUGCGACCUCGAUGUUGGAUUAAAAUAAAAUUUUGGUGUAGAAGCUGAA
This 478-nucleotide ribosomal RNA is filed under the name Oxyops sp. JR-2002. RNAcentral describes it as "partial 16S ribosomal RNA". It matches the Rfam family "Bacterial large subunit ribosomal RNA", at positions 1832 to 2566 of the family's 2925-position model. The record is from RNAcentral. Lineage: Eukaryota; Metazoa; Arthropoda; Insecta; Coleoptera; Curculionidae.